RNAcentral lists this ribosomal RNA (213 nucleotides) under Escherichia coli. RNAcentral's name for it is "partial 23S ribosomal RNA". It matches the Rfam family "Bacterial large subunit ribosomal RNA", at positions 2730 to 2925 of the family's 2925-position model. The record is from RNAcentral. Lineage: Bacteria; Pseudomonadati; Pseudomonadota; Gammaproteobacteria; Enterobacterales; Enterobacteriaceae.
CAAUGGCACUGCCCGGUAGCUAAAUGCGGAAGAGAUAAGUGCUGAAAGCAUCUAAGCACGAAACUUGCCCCGAGAUGAGUUCUCCCUGACUCCUUGAGAGUCCUGAAGGAACGUUGAAGACGACGACGUUGAUAGGCCGGGUGUGUAAGCGCAGCGAUGCGUUGAGCUAACCGGUACUAAUGAACCGUGAGGCUUAACCUUACAACGCCGAAG